CAGGCUUAACACAUGCAAGUCGAGGGGCAUCAGGAAGAAAGCUUGCUUUCUUUGCUGGCGACCGGCGCACGGGUGAGUAACACGUAUCCAACCUGCCCUUUACUCGGGGAUAGCCUUUCGAAAGAAAGAUUAAUACCCGAUAGCAUAAUGAUUCCGCAUGGUUUCAUUAUUAAAGGAUUCCGGUAAAGGAUGGGGAUGCGUUCCAUUAGGUUGUUGGUGAGGUAACGGCCCACCAAGCCUUCGAUGGAUAGGGGUUCUGAGAGGAAGGUCCCCCACAUUGGAACUGAGACACGGUCCAAACUCCUACGGGAGGCAGCAGUGAGGAAUAUUGGUCAAUGGGCGCUAGCCCGAACCAGCCAAGUAGCGUGAAGGAUGAAGGCUCUAUGGGUCGUAAACUUCUUUUAUAUAAGAAUAAAGUGCAGUAUGUAUACUGUUUUGUAUGUAUUAUAUGAAUAAGGAUCGGCUAACUCUGUGCCAGCAGCCGCGGUAAUACGGAGGAUCCGAGCGUUAUCCGGAUUUAUUGGGUUUAAAGGGAGCGUAGGUGGACCGGUAAGUCAGUUGUGAAAGUUUGCGGCUCAACCGUAAAAUUGCAGUUGAUACUGUCAGUCUUGAGUACAGUAGAGGUGGGCGGAAUUCGUGGUGUAGCGGUGAAAUGCUUAGAUAUCACGAAGAACUCCAAUUGCGAAGGCAGCUCACUGGACUGCAACUGACACUGAUGCUCGAAAGUGUGGGUAUCAAACAGGAUUAGAUACCCUGGUAGUCCACACAGUAAACGAUGAAUACUCGCUGUUUGCGAUAUACAGUAAGCGGCCAAGCGAAAGCAUUAAGUAUUCCACCUGGGGAGUACGCCGGCAACGGUGAAACUCAAAGGAAUUGACGGGGGCCCGCACAAGCGGAGGAACAUGUGGUUUAAUUCGAUGAUACGCGAGGAACCUUACCCGGGCUUAAAUUGCAGUGGAAUGAUGUGGAAACAUGUCAGUGAGCAAUCACCGCUGUGAAGGUGCUGCAUGGUUGUCGUCAGCUCGUGCCGUGAGGUGUCGGCUUAAGUGCCAUAACGAGCGCAACCCUUAUCUUUAGUUACUAACAGGUUAUGCUGAGGACUCUAGAGAGACUGCCGUCGUAAGAUGUGAGGAAGGUGGGGAUGACGUCAAAUCAGCACGGCCCUUACGUCCGGGGCUACACACGUGUUACAAUGGGGGGUACAGAAGGCAGCUAGCGGGUGACCGUAUGCUAAUCCCAAAAUCCUCUCUCAGUUCGGAUCGAAGUCUGCAACCCGACUUCGUGAAGCUGGAUUCGCUAGUAAUCGCGCAUCAGCCACGGCGCGGUGAAUACGUUCCCGGGCCUUGUACACACCGCCCGUCAAGCCAUGGGAGCCGGGGGUACCUGAAGUACGUAACCGCAAGGAUCGUCCUAGGGUAAAACUGGUGACUGGG
RNAcentral lists this ribosomal RNA (1433 nucleotides) under uncultured organism. RNAcentral describes it as "16S ribosomal RNA". It matches the Rfam family "Bacterial small subunit ribosomal RNA". The record is from RNAcentral.